Molecule: ribosomal RNA, 576 nt
Filed under: Genea fragrans
Lineage: Eukaryota; Fungi; Ascomycota; Pezizomycetes; Pezizales; Pyronemataceae
Description: LSU rRNA
Rfam family: Eukaryotic large subunit ribosomal RNA
Source: RNAcentral
AGUAACUGCGAGUGAAGUGGCAAAAGCUCAAAUUUGAAAUCCGGUGCCUUUGGUGCCUGAGUUGUAAUUUGGAGAGACAAAUUUGGUUGACGGCGCCGGCCUAGGUUCCUUUGAACAGGACAACACAGAGGGUGAGAAUCCCGUGCCUGGCUGGUUGACCGUCACGUUUCUAAAUUGUCUUCGACGAGUCGAGUUGUUUGGGAAUGCAGCUCAAAAUGGGUGGUAAAUGUCAUCUAAAGCUAAAUAUUGGCGAGAGACCGAUAGCGCACAAGUAGAGUGAUCGAAAGAUGAAAAGCACUUUGAAAAGAGAGUCAAAAAGUACGUGAAAUUGCUGAAAGGGAAGCGCUUGAGACCAGACUCGAACCGUGGUGAUCAGCCGUGCUUCUGUGCGGUUUCACUUGCCAGGGUUUGGGCCAGCAUCGGUUCUGGCGGCCGGACAAAAGGUGGGGGAAUGUAGCUUCCUUCGGGGAGUGUUAUUUAGCCCCCACCACAAUGCGGCCAGCUGGGACCGAGGACCGCGCGGGCUUCCGCUAGGAUGCUGGCGUAAUGGUCUUAAGCGACCCGUCUUGAAACACG